RNAcentral lists this ribosomal RNA (220 nucleotides) under uncultured bacterium. RNAcentral's name for it is "partial 16S ribosomal RNA". It matches the Rfam family "Bacterial small subunit ribosomal RNA", at positions 110 to 334 of the family's 1533-position model. The record is from RNAcentral.
UAAUGGUAUGGGGAUCUGCCCGAUAGAGGGGGAUAACUACUGGAAACGGUGGCUAUACCGCAUAAUGUCUACGGACCAAAGCAGGGGCUCUUCGGACCUUGCACUAUCGGAUGAACCCAUAUGGGAUUAGCUAGUAGGUGGGGUAAAGGCUCACCUAGGCGACGAUCUCUAGCUGGUCUGAGAGGAUGAUCAGCCACACUGGGACUGAGACACGGCCCAG